This 253-nucleotide ribosomal RNA is filed under the name uncultured bacterium. RNAcentral describes it as "partial 16S ribosomal RNA". It matches the Rfam family "Bacterial small subunit ribosomal RNA", at positions 524 to 776 of the family's 1533-position model. The record is from RNAcentral.
UACGGAGGGGGCUAGCGUUGUUCGGAAUUACUGGGCGUAAAGCGCGCGUAGGCGGACCUGCAAGUCGGGGGUGAAAGCCCGAGGCUCAACCUCGGAACUGCCUUCGAUACUGCGGGUCUCGAGUCCGGGAGAGGUGAGUGGAAUUCCUAGUGUAGAGGUGAAAUUCGUAGAUAUUAGGAAGAACACCAGUGGCGAAGGCGGCUCACUGGCCCGGUACUGACGCUGAGGCGCGACAGCGUGGGGAGCUAACAGG